UCGAGGAUCUUUGGCAAUGGGCGCAAGCCUGACCAAGCGACGCCGCGUGUGCGAUGAAGGCCUUCGGGUUGUAAAGCACUGUCGAGGGGGAUAAAGGCGCAAGCUUGAUUGAUCCCUGGAGGAAGCACGGGCUAAGUUCGUGCCAGCAGCCGCGGUAAGACGAACCGUGCGAACGUUGUUCGGAAUCACUGGGCUUAAAGGGCGCGUAGGCGGCAGAGUCAGUCCGGGGUGAAAGCCCCCAGCUCAACUGGGGAAGGGCCUUGGAUACUGCUGUGCUCGAGGAAGGUAGGGGUCGAGGGAACUUCUGGUGGAGCGGUGAAAUGCGUUGAUAUCAGAAGGAACGCCGGUGGCGAAAGCGCUCGACUGGACCUUUUCUGACGCUGAGGCGCGAAAGCUAGGGGAGCAAACGGGAUUAGAUACCCCCGUAGUCC
This 431-nucleotide ribosomal RNA is filed under the name uncultured bacterium. RNAcentral's name for it is "bacterial SSU rRNA". It matches the Rfam family "Bacterial small subunit ribosomal RNA", at positions 355 to 796 of the family's 1533-position model. The record is from RNAcentral.